CCUUGUGAAGGAAACGUACUCUUACUCCUUCUGCAGAUGUGGAGACAGAGGCAGAAAAAAAAGCCAUGCCCAAAGUGACACAGGUUUGAACUGAAACAUUAGUUCUUCCUGGGUCUCAAGCCUGUGGGCCUCCAGACUGGAAGUACACCGUUGGCUCUCCUGGGUCUCCAGCUUGCCAAUUUACCCUGCGGAUCUUGGGAUUUGCCAGCUGCCAUAAUUUUGACACAGUGAGAAGGCAGCCAUCUGUAAGCCAGGAAGAGAGCUGUCACCAGGGACUGAAUCCAGCGCAUUGAUUUUGGACUUCUAACCUUCAGAACUGUGAGAAAUAAAUGUCAUUUAAGCCAUCAGUCUAUGGUACUUUGUUAUAGCAGCCUGAGCUGAUUAAGACACAGGGUUUUAUGAGCUUGAUCUUGAAGGCUCGUUUUGACUCUACAAUUCUAACAUUCUUUUCCAAAGUCCCCUCUGUUAUUGGCUGUGUUCAUUUCUGCCACUCUGCUGUCACUCAAGCCAUUCCUCCUCACUGCUAUGUUUUCUGCAACUCCUCACCAUUAAUCAAGAUCUUCUGCGAACUUAGAGGUUGAGCACACAUUUCAGCUCACAGGUGUGAAGAAAAAGCAGGGUCAAAUCCAAAUAUUUCUCUUUACUUUCAUGCGACCUUGAACAGUUACUUAACUUCUCUAUGCCUCCAUCUGCAAAGUGGAGUUAAUAAUACUUACAGGAUAAGAGUUGUGAUGAUUAAAUGGAAUUAAACAUGUAAAGCACCCACAUAGACCGGAGUUUGGCCCAUUUUUCUGCAAAAGAUCAGAUAGUAAAUAAUUUAGGCUUGCAGGGCAUGUGGUCUCUCAGCUUUGGCUUUGUAGGGCAAAAAGGACCACAGACAAUAUGCAAACAAAUGAGUGUGGCUGUGUUCCAAUAAAACUUUAUUUAUAAAAACAGGUGGCAGGCUGGAUUUGCACCCCGCCACCUGCAGCACUGGGCUUUGCUAUUCCAGGUAGCAGAUUAGGAUUCUCAUUGCUUUUUUAAAUUUAAACACACUUUAAGCUGUUUUAUGUUAUCCUUGGCUCUCC
This 1067-nucleotide long non-coding RNA is filed under the name Equus caballus (horse). Its description in RNAcentral is "lncRNA (ENSECAG00000050342.1)". The record is from RNAcentral. Lineage: Eukaryota; Metazoa; Chordata; Mammalia; Perissodactyla; Equidae.